CCUUACAGGUUGUCAUGAAGCAACCUCUGUAAGACAGAUGAGCCUCGCAUCACAUCACAUUGCAUUGUGUCACAAUUACAAACCUGGGUAGCUUUAGGCUUCCUUGGGUGGCUGGAUGGGAAGUAGGCCUUGGCCUGCAAACUGUAUUAGUCCUGCACAUGCCGAAAGAAAAAUAAAAAGAAAGUCAGAAGAGAGAUGGGAAAAGUAUGUCAGGGAAAGAAGGAGGUUCAGAAAACCAGCUUUGCACAGCACUUGCUGCUCCCUCUCCACCAGUAGCUUAUGAAGUAACCCCUGCCUCAAUUAUACCUUGGGAAUGGAGCAUUGAACAGAAAAAGAUGUCUGGCAACCUCUCCUUUUUUUGGACACUCUUAUACAUUAUUUUAUAACUCACGAAUUUUAUUAUUUUACCUAUGUGGAGAGAGGAGCAUGUCGAUGUUAUCAUGUUCCAUCUGAAACCUUCCUAUGUUUUCUUCUGUCAGAGCAAGAAGGGGAUGUGGAUGCCAGACUUCCUUCAUCAUUAUCUGCCCACUUCUACCCAUUAGGAUUUCUCUGCAGAAAAACUAGGAAUUAAAAUCUUAUUUCCAUGUAAAGUUGCAAAUAAACUGAUAUCAUCUGCCUAUUUAUUUCUCUGGCCCUAACUCCACUUUUAGUAGCCAUGCUCUUGCAUCCCCAGUCUCUGUGAGCUACACCAACCCCUU
Molecule: long non-coding RNA, 698 nt
Organism: Crotalus tigris (Tiger rattlesnake)
Lineage: Eukaryota; Metazoa; Chordata; Lepidosauria; Squamata; Viperidae
Exons: 3
Source: RefSeq, a predicted model, not a curated record